This 350-nucleotide ribosomal RNA is filed under the name uncultured bacterium. Its description in RNAcentral is "partial 16S ribosomal RNA". It matches the Rfam family "Bacterial small subunit ribosomal RNA", at positions 338 to 685 of the family's 1533-position model. The record is from RNAcentral.
CCUACGGGUGGCAGCAGUGAGGAAUAUUGGUCAAUGGGCGCGAGCCUGAACCAGCCAAGUAGCGUGAAGGAUGACUGCCCUACGGGUUGUAAACUUCUUUUGUAAAGGAAUAAAGGCAGGCACUUGUGCCUUGUUGUAUGUACUUGAUGAAUAAGGAUCGGCUAACUCCGUGCCAGCAGCCGCGGUAAUACGGAGGAUCCGAGCGUUAUCCGGAUUUAUUGGGUUUAAAGGGUGCGUGGAUGGGUUGUUAAGUCAGUGGUUAAAGUUUGGGGCUCAACCGUAAAAUUGCAAUUGAUAUUGGCAGCCGUGAUUACAGUGGAGUACGCCGGAAUCCGUGGGGAGGCGGGGAA